AGAGUUUGAUUAUGGCUCAGGAUGAACGCUGGCGGCGUGCCUAACACAUGCAAGUCGAACGAGGUAAAUGAGAUGAAGUUUUCGGAUGGAUUCUUAUUUACCGAGUGGCGGACGGGUGAGUAACGCGUGGGUAACCUGCCUCAUACAGGGGGAUAACGAUUGGAAACGAUUGCUAAUACCGCAUAAGCGCACAGUACCACAUGGUACAGUGUGAAAAACUCCGGUGGUAUGAGAUGGACCCGCGUCUGAUUAGCUAGUUGGUGAGGUAACGGCCCACCAAGGCAACGAUCAGUAGCCGACCUGAGAGGGUGACCGGCCACAUUGGGACUGAGACACGGCCCAG
Molecule: ribosomal RNA, 343 nt
Filed under: uncultured bacterium
Lineage: Bacteria
Description: bacterial SSU rRNA
Rfam family: Bacterial small subunit ribosomal RNA
Source: RNAcentral